Molecule: long non-coding RNA, 279 nt
Filed under: Bos taurus (domestic cattle)
Lineage: Eukaryota; Metazoa; Chordata; Mammalia; Artiodactyla; Bovidae
Description: long non-coding RNA NONBTAT021950
Source: RNAcentral
AUAUCUAUUUUUAGGUAUCUAUAAAAAAAAAAAAAAAAGAUAAAGAGUAGAAUAGUAUGUUGUCAAGUGUGAAGUAAUCAAUACACAGAAGUAUUAUAGCCCUUGAACGUGCCCUGUAGAGCUAUAGGUUACAGGGGAAAUACAGGGUUUCUUGGCAAAGGUUGUAUUUGAGUAGAAGCUUGAGAAGUGGGUAAUAUUUAAGUAGGAAAGGAGGUCUUCCUAAAGUAGGAUGCAGGGCAUACUGUGAACGAAUAACACAAGAUAAAAAUGAGCAAGGCG